UGGGGAAUAUUGGGCAAUGGGCGAAAGCCUUACCCAGCAAUGCCGCGUGAGUGAUGAAGGUCUUCGGAUUGUAAAGCUCUUUGAUUAGGGACGAAGAAAGUGACGGUACCUAAAGAACAAGCACCGGCUAAUUACGUGCCAGCAGCCGCGGUAACACGUAAGGUGCGAGCGUUGUUCGGAAUCAUUGGGCGUAAAGGGCAUGUAGGCGGUCUGUCAAGCCAGGCGUGAAAGCCAGGGGCUCAACCCCUGAACUGCGCUUGGAACUGGCGGACUGGAGUCGCUGAGGGGGAGCCGGAAUUCCUGGUGUAGGGGUGAAAUCUGUAGAUAUCAGGAAGAACACCGAUGGCGAAGGCAGGUUUCCAGCAGACGACUGACGCUGAGGUGCGAAGGUGCGGGGAGCAAACAGGAUUAGAUACCCUGGUAGU
Molecule: ribosomal RNA, 425 nt
Filed under: uncultured Treponema sp.
Lineage: Bacteria; Pseudomonadati; Spirochaetota; Spirochaetia; Treponematales; Treponemataceae
Description: bacterial SSU rRNA
Rfam family: Bacterial small subunit ribosomal RNA
Source: RNAcentral